GAUCAUGGCUCAGGAUGAACGCUGGCGGCGUGCUUAACACAUGCAAGUCGAACGAAGCACCUUGAUUUGAUUCUUCGGAUGAAGGUCUUGGUGACUGAGUGGCGGACGGGUGAGUAACGCGUGGGUAACCUGCCUCAUACAGGGGGAUAACAGUUAGAAAUGACUGCUAAUACCGCAUAAGACCACAGCACCGCAUGGUGCAGGGGUAAAACUCCGGUGGUAUGAGAUGGACCCGCG
RNAcentral lists this ribosomal RNA (237 nucleotides) under uncultured bacterium. Its description in RNAcentral is "partial 16S ribosomal RNA". It matches the Rfam family "Bacterial small subunit ribosomal RNA", at positions 15 to 235 of the family's 1533-position model. The record is from RNAcentral.